RNAcentral lists this transfer RNA (75 nucleotides) under Ictidomys tridecemlineatus (thirteen-lined ground squirrel). RNAcentral's name for it is "Spermophilus tridecemlineatus (thirteen-lined ground squirrel) tRNA". It matches the Rfam family "tRNA". Rfam says of the family: Transfer RNA (tRNA) molecules are approximately 80 nucleotides in length. RNAcentral also lists the same sequence under 1 other name. The record is from Rfam by way of RNAcentral. Lineage: Eukaryota; Metazoa; Chordata; Mammalia; Rodentia; Sciuridae.
GGGGGUAUAGCUCAGUGAUACAGUACUUGCCUAGUAUGUGUGAGGGCACCUUGGGUUCAAUCCCCAGCACCUCCA